UACGAAGGGGGCUAGCGUUGCUCGGAAUCACUGGGCGUAAAGGGUGCGUAGGCGGGUCUUUAAGUCAGGGGUGAAAUCCUGGAGCUCAACUCCAGAACUGCCUUUGAUACUGAAGAUCUUGAGUUCGGGAGAGGUGAGUGGAACUGCGAGUGUAGAGGUGAAAUUCGUAGAUAUUCGCAAGAACACCAGUGGCGAAGGCGGCUUACUGGUCCGGUUCUGACGCUGAGGCGCGAAAGCGUGGGGAGCAAACAGG
This 253-nucleotide ribosomal RNA is filed under the name uncultured bacterium. RNAcentral describes it as "partial 16S ribosomal RNA". It matches the Rfam family "Bacterial small subunit ribosomal RNA", at positions 524 to 776 of the family's 1533-position model. The record is from RNAcentral.